AGUGAACGCUGGCGGUAGGCCUAACACAUGCAAGUCGAACGGCAGCACAGUAAGAGCUUGCUCUUACGGGUGGCGAGUGGCGGACGGGUGAGGAAUACAUCGGAAUCUACUUUUUCGUGGGGGAUAACGGCGGGAAACUUACGCUAAUACCGCAUACGACCUACGGGUGAAAGCAGGGGAUCUUCGGACCUUGCGCGAUUGAAUGAGCCGAUGUCGGAUUAGCUAGUUGGCGGGGUAAAGGCCCACCAAGGCGACGAUGCGGAGCUGGUCUGAGAGGAUGAUCAGCCACCCUGGAAGUGCGACACGGUCCAGACGCCUACGGCAGGCAGCAGUGGGGAAUAUUGGACAAUGGGCGCAAGCCUGAUCCAGCCAUACCGCGUGGGUGAAGAAGGCCUUCGGGUUGUAAAGCCCUUUUGUUGGGAAAGAAAAGCAGCAGGUUAAUACCCCGCUGUUCUGACGGUACCCAAAGAAUAAGCACCGGCUAACUUCGUG
This 492-nucleotide ribosomal RNA is filed under the name uncultured bacterium. RNAcentral's name for it is "partial 16S ribosomal RNA". It matches the Rfam family "Bacterial small subunit ribosomal RNA", at positions 29 to 507 of the family's 1533-position model. The record is from RNAcentral.